Molecule: ribosomal RNA, 492 nt
Filed under: uncultured bacterium
Lineage: Bacteria
Description: bacterial SSU rRNA
Rfam family: Bacterial small subunit ribosomal RNA
Source: RNAcentral
GGUGCUGCAUGGCUGUCGUCAGCUCGUGUUGUGAAAUGUUGGGUUAAGUCCCGCAACGAGCGCAACCCUUAUCCUUUGUUGCCAGCGGUCCGGCCGGGAACUCAAAGGAGACUGCCAGUGAUAAACUGGAGGAAGGUGGGGAUGACGUCAAGUCAUCAUGGCCCUUACGACCAGGGCUACACACGUGCUACAAUGGCGCAUACAAAGAGAAGCGACCUCGCGAGAGCAAGCGGACCUCAUAAAGUGCGUCGUAGUCCGGAUUGGAGUCUGCAACUCGACUCCAUGAAGUCGGAAUCGCUAGUAAUCGUGGAUCAGAAUGCCACGGUGAAUACGUUCCCGGGCCUUGUACACACCGCCCGUCACACCAUGGGAGUGGGUUGCAAAAGAGGUAGGUAGCUUAACCUUCGGGAGGGCGCUUACCACUUUGUGAUUCAUGACUGGGGUGAAGUCGUAACAAGGUAACCGUAGGGGAACCUGCGGCUGGAUCACCUC